AUACGUAGGUGGCGAGCGUUGUCCGGAUUUACUGGGUGUAAAGGGCGAGUAGGCGGAUGAGCAAGUCAGAUGUGAAAUACCGGGGCUUAACCCCGGGGCUGCAUUUGAAACUGCUUAUCUUGAGUGAUGGAGAGGCAGGCGGAAUUCCCGGUGUAGCGGUGGAAUGCGUAGAUAUCGGGAGGAACACCAGUGGCGAAGGCGGCCUGCUGGACAUUAACUGACGCUGAGGAGCGAAAGCGUGGGGAGGC
RNAcentral lists this ribosomal RNA (248 nucleotides) under uncultured bacterium. RNAcentral's name for it is "partial 16S ribosomal RNA". It matches the Rfam family "Bacterial small subunit ribosomal RNA", at positions 523 to 770 of the family's 1533-position model. The record is from RNAcentral.